This 494-nucleotide ribosomal RNA is filed under the name uncultured bacterium. RNAcentral's name for it is "partial 16S ribosomal RNA". It matches the Rfam family "Bacterial small subunit ribosomal RNA", at positions 28 to 507 of the family's 1533-position model. The record is from RNAcentral.
GACGAACGCUGGCGGCGUGCUUAACACAUGCAAGUCGAACGGAAAGGCCUGCUUUCCCUUGUGGCUUGCGGGUACUCGAGUGGCGAACGGGUGAGUAACACGUGAGUGAUCUGCCCCCAACUUGGGUAUAAGCCUGGGAAACUGGGUCUAAUUCCCGAUAGGACUGCAGGGUGGUGCCUGUGGUGGAAAACGAUUUUCUAGUGGUUGGGGAUGAGCUCGCGGCCUAUCAGCUUGUUGGUGGGGUAAUGGCCUACCAAGGCGGCGACGGGUAGCCGGCCUGAGAGGGUGGACGGGCACAUGGGGACUGGGAUACGGCCCAGAGGGCGGCGGGAGGAGGGAGUGGGGGAUAAUGGACGAUGGGCGGAAGCCUGAUGCAGCGACGCGGGGUGGGGGAUGACGGACUUCGGGUUGUAAACUCCUGACGAGCGCGAGGAAGACACCUGGUUGGAAGGGUGGUGACGGUAGUGGUAGAAGAAGCACCGGCUAACUACGUG